ACCAAAUAGAGUUGAAAGUAAUUUAUUCAGUUCUCUCUAUACAAUUUAAUACCUUAUUUGUAUCCUUAUUCUUAUUGAAUAAUAAUUUAUCGAUUGAAAAAAUUUUACUUCGUAUAAUUUCAUUUCGUUUACCUGUAGAACUAGCAUAGUGAACGAUUUUUUAUGAUUUAGAAUUCUCAAUUUAGUUUUCUGUGGAUGGAACUGUUAACCGUGACGUUCAUUUUAAACGAUGUAUUAUAUUUCAGAGUCCCAGCUGAAAUCGGAUUACAAGUACAAAAAGUAACUUAUUCAGAGCAUUCGAUAAAUUCCAUUUGAUUAUCGGCCAAUUGGAGUCGAAUUCCAUGAUACAAAAAUUCAAAUAUACUAAAUGCACCAAGCCAAUGGAAUUUCAGUGAAACACACUAUGUCAAAUUUCACCCACGCAUAUUGAGGCUAUAUUGUAAAUCUUUGUGCUAUGAAUGCUCUUUGUGUUGUAUUGAUAUAUCAAAUUAACUGAAGCAAUGUUUAUCGAUUUUCGAUGUUAUGUACCACCACCUGUUUGAUAAUUCAAUUUCUAAAUAAAGUGGCAAAUCUUCUUGGA
Molecule: long non-coding RNA, 580 nt
Organism: Coccinella septempunctata (seven-spotted ladybird)
Lineage: Eukaryota; Metazoa; Arthropoda; Insecta; Coleoptera; Coccinellidae
Exons: 2
Source: RefSeq, a predicted model, not a curated record